CCUUUAAUGUUUGAUGUUCUAACGUGGACCCGUGAUCCGGGUUGCGGACAGUGUCUGGUGGGUAGUUUGACUGGGGCGGUCUCCUCCUAAAGAGUAACGGAGGAGCACGAAGGUUGGCUAAUCCUGGUCGGACAUCAGGAGGUUAGUGCAAUGGCAUAAGCCAGCUUGACUGCGAGCGUGACGGCGCGAGCAGGUGCGAAAGCAGGUCAUAGUGAUCCGGUGGUUCUGAAUGGAAGGGCCAUCGCUCAACGGAUAAAAGGUACUCCGGGGAUAACAGGCUGAUACCGCCCAAGAGUUCAUAUCGACGGCGGUGUUUGGCACCUCGAUGUCGGCUCAUCACAUCCUGGGGCUGAAGUAGGUCCCAAGGGUAUGGCUGUUCGCCAUUUAAAGUGGUACGCGAGCUGGGUUUAGAACGUCGUGAGACAGUUCGGUCCCUAUCUGCCGUGGGCGCUGGAGAACUGAGGGGGGCUGCUCCUAGUACGAGAGGACCGGAGUGGACGCAUCACUGGUGUUCGGGUUGUCAUGCCAAUGGCACUGCCCGGUAGCUAAAUGCGGAAGAGAUAAGUGCUGAAAGCAUCUAAGCACGAAACUUGCCCCGAGAUGAGUUCUCCCUGACCCUUUAAGGGUCCUGAAGGAACGUUGAAGACGACGACGUUGAUAGGCCGGGUGUGUAAGCGCAGCGAUGCGUUGAGCUAACCGGUACUAAUGAACCGUGAGGCUUAACCUU
Molecule: ribosomal RNA, 727 nt
Filed under: Escherichia coli
Lineage: Bacteria; Pseudomonadati; Pseudomonadota; Gammaproteobacteria; Enterobacterales; Enterobacteriaceae
Also listed under: 2 other names
Description: partial 23S ribosomal RNA
Rfam family: Bacterial large subunit ribosomal RNA
Source: RNAcentral